RNAcentral lists this ribosomal RNA (253 nucleotides) under uncultured bacterium. Its description in RNAcentral is "partial 16S ribosomal RNA". It matches the Rfam family "Bacterial small subunit ribosomal RNA", at positions 524 to 776 of the family's 1533-position model. The record is from RNAcentral.
UACGAAGGGGGCUAGCGUUGCUCGGAAUCACUGGGCGUAAAGGGUGCGUAGGCGGGUUUUUAAGUCAGGUGUGAAAUCCUGGAGCUCAACUCCAGAACUGCCUUUGAUACUGAAGAUCUUGAGUCCGGGAGAGGUGAGUGGAACUGCGAGUGUAGAGGUGAAAUUCGUAGAUAUUCGCAAGAACACCAGUGGCGAAGGCGGCUCACUGGCCCGAUACUGACGCUGAGGCACGAAAGCGUGGGGAGCAAACAGG